GAUGAACGCUGGCGGCGUGCCUAAUACAUGCAAGUCGAGCGAACGGACGAGAAGCUUGCUUCUCUGAUGUUAGCGGCGGACGGGUGAGUAACACGUGGAUAACCUACCUAUAAGACUGGGAUAACUUCGGGAAACCGGAGCUAAUACCGGAUAAUAUUUUGAACCGCAUGGUUCAAAAGUGAAAGACGGUCUUGCUGUCACUUAUAGAUGGAUCCGCGCUGCAUUAGCUAGUUGGUAAGGUAACGGCUUACCAAGGCAACGAUGCAUAGCCGACCUGAGAGGGAGAUCGGCCACACUGGAACUGAGGCACGGUCCAGACUCCUACGGGAGGCAGCAGUAGGGAAUCUUCCGCGAUGAGCGAAAGCCUGACGGAGCCACGCCGCGUGAGUGAUGAAGGUCUUCGGAUCGUAAAACUCUGUUAUUAGGGAAGAACAUAUGUGUAGGUAACUGUGCACAUCUUGACGGUACCUAAUCAGAAAGCCACGGCUAACUACGUG
RNAcentral lists this ribosomal RNA (497 nucleotides) under uncultured bacterium. RNAcentral describes it as "partial 16S ribosomal RNA". It matches the Rfam family "Bacterial small subunit ribosomal RNA", at positions 28 to 507 of the family's 1533-position model. The record is from RNAcentral.